CACUUUUAUCUGUCUAAUUAUAUUUCCAAUGUCAAAUUCGGUGGAGGAAAACGUGAGGCAGUCCCUAGUGCAGUUUAUGCAGCAACUUUCAUCAGGAAAUCGCCAAAAUGACCAGAACUGGGGUUGGAACAUGACUUCAGACCCCUGCAAUGACAAUUGGGUGGGUGUAGCAUGCGACUCGCAGUUGCAAACUGUACAAAAGAUAGUUCUUCAUGAGUUCAAUUUCAGUGGAAGUCUUGAUGCCAGUUCUUUAUGCAUGGUAAAUUCUCUUGUUGUAUUGAGCUUGAGAAAGAAUAAUAUUGUCAACAUCAUACCUGAAGCGAUAGGAAAAUGCAAAAGCCUAACUCACUUAAAUUUAAGGGAAAACAGAUUAUCA
Molecule: long non-coding RNA, 376 nt
Filed under: Ricinus communis (castor bean)
Lineage: Eukaryota; Viridiplantae; Streptophyta; Magnoliopsida; Malpighiales; Euphorbiaceae
Description: long non-coding RNA (RCOM_LNC000989)
Source: RNAcentral